Molecule: RNA transcript, 17224 nt
Organism: Cavia porcellus (domestic guinea pig)
Lineage: Eukaryota; Metazoa; Chordata; Mammalia; Rodentia; Caviidae
Gene: Rdx
Gene name: radixin
Exons: 16
Source: RefSeq, a predicted model, not a curated record
GCGGCGGCGCCUCUCCUCUGCUCGCCCGCGGGCCCGCGCUCGUCCCGGCGACUCUCCUCCCAGCCGCGGCCGCGACGCCGGCGCCACCGCGCAGCGCCUCAGCCCCCGGACGGCGGGCGGGACGCCGCUCUCGAAGGGGACAACAGGAUUUACAUACGUGAAAAUUUCCUAUAAAGACCGUAACAGAAAAAGAAGGAAAAUGCCGAAACCAAUCAAUGUAAGAGUAACUACAAUGGAUGCAGAGUUGGAAUUUGCCAUUCAGCCCAAUACAACUGGGAAACAACUUUUUGACCAGGUGGUGAAAACCGUUGGUUUGCGUGAGGUCUGGUUUUUUGGCCUGCAGUAUGUUGAUAGCAAAGGUUAUUCAACAUGGCUUAAACUAAAUAAAAAGGUGACACAGCAAGAUGUUAAAAAAGAGAAUCCCUUACAGUUCAAGUUUAGAGCUAAAUUCUUUCCUGAAGAUGUUUCUGAAGAAUUAAUUCAAGAAAUAACACAAAGACUUUUCUUCCUGCAAGUUAAAGAAGCCAUCUUAAAUGAUGAGAUAUAUUGCCCACCAGAAACUGCAGUUCUUUUGGCUUCCUAUGCUGUCCAAGCCAAAUAUGGAGAUUAUAGUAAAGAGAUUCAUAAACCAGGCUACCUGGCCAAUGAUAGACUGUUACCCCAGCGUGUUUUGGAACAACACAAAUUGACUAAAGAACAGUGGGAAGAAAGAAUACAGAACUGGCAUGAAGAACAUAGAGGAAUGCUAAGGGAAGAUUCGAUGAUGGAAUACUUGAAGAUUGCACAGGAUCUAGAAAUGUAUGGUGUCAACUAUUUUGAAAUAAAAAAUAAGAAGGGUACUGAAUUGUGGCUAGGUGUUGAUGCUUUGGGCCUGAAUAUUUAUGAGCACGAUGACAAGUUAACACCUAAAAUUGGCUUUCCCUGGAGUGAAAUCAGAAAUAUUUCAUUUAAUGACAAAAAAUUUGUUAUAAAGCCAAUAGACAAAAAGGCACCUGAUUUUGUUUUUUAUGCACCUCGUUUGAGAAUCAAUAAGCGGAUUUUGGCCUUAUGUAUGGGAAACCAUGAACUAUACAUGCGAAGAAGGAAGCCUGACACUAUCGAAGUCCAACAGAUGAAGGCUCAGGCUAGAGAGGAGAAACAUCAGAAGCAGUUGGAAAGGGCACAAUUAGAAAAUGAAAAGAAGAAAAGAGAAAUAGCAGAAAAGGAAAAGGAAAGAAUAGAACGUGAAAAGGAAGAGCUAAUGGAACGGCUAAGGCAGAUUGAAGAACAGACAAUGAAAGCCCAAAAAGAACUAGAAGAACAGACUCGAAAAGCUCUAGAAUUGGAUCAGGAACGAAAACGAGCAAAAGAAGAAGCAGAGCGGCUGGAAAAAGAGCGCCGAGCCGCUGAAGAGGCCAAGUCCGCCAUCGCGAAGCAGGCUGCCGACCAGCUGAAGAACCAGGAGCAGCUGGCAGCGGAACUUGCCGAGUUCACUGCCAAGAUUGCACUUCUAGAAGAAGCCAAGAAGAAGAAGGAAGAGGAAGCUACUGAGUGGCAACACAAAGCUUUUGCAGCCCAGGAAGACUUGGAAAAGACAAAAGAAGAGUUAAAAACUGUAAUGUCUGCCCCCCCUCCGCCCCCGCCCCCGCCAGUUGUUCCUCCCACGGAGAAUGAGCACGACGAGCACGAUGAGAACAGCGCCGAGGCCAGUGCCGAGCUGUCCAGCGAGGGGGUGACGAACCACCGGAGUGAGGAGGGGCGCGUGACGGAGACCCAGAAAAACGAACGUGUGAAGAAGCAGCUUCAGGCAUUAAGUUCCGAGUUAGCCCAAGCCAGAGAUGAAACCAAGAAAACACAAAAUGACGUUCUUCAUGCCGAGAAUGUGAAAGCAGGCCGUGACAAGUACAAGACGCUCCGGCAGAUCCGGCAGGGCAACACGAAGCAGCGCAUCGAUGAGUUUGAGGCCAUGUGAGAGCUGUUCUUUUGCGUACAUGUCCUUCCUAAGCUGAACCACCCGCAGAGAAAAGCAGGCCUGUGCAGAUGUGAUGGGCUGCGCCUACCUUGCCAAAGCACUUGUACCAGUGUGACUGUGGGCUCCAGACAGAUUGGAGGAGAGCGCUUCAACUUUAAGGCAGUGUCCCGUUGUGUUUGGUUUUCUUUGGGGCCAGGAAAUUGAGCACAGUGUUCCAUUACCUCCAUUUGCAUUUCCAUUUGUUGAUUUUUCAUUAUUGUUAACGAGUAACACUAAUAAUCAUGUCUGAUAAAUGUGUGUUCUGACACUUUGUGCAUUUUAAAAGGGUAAUGAUGACUAUUUCAGAGUGCUUAGAUCACUCAGUUCUCCCUUGCCUUUUCCAUAUUGAACCGGCAUAGAUUUCCACAUUCUCAUGUUUGCUCAGUGUACCCUUUUACCCUGCCAUGACCAUAAGCCUGCUGCCAUGCAGAUCAUUGGCAGUAUUUAAAGUGAUUGUAAGUGGCUGGGUGGACAGUCUUGGAUUAUUAUGUAGUAGAUGACCGUAAAUCAUGGCAGAGAACUAUAAAUCAAAGAGAAUAGUGUGUGUGUGGGUUUUUUUUAAAAUCCCAAUAUAAUUAUAUUAUUGGACCUUUGUUACUUCCUUGCUGUCAUCUUUGACAGAUAAAUUGAUUACUGUUUCAUAUUCUGUGAUGUGUGUGUGUAUGUGAGAGACAUUUUUCUUUGCCUUCCACUUCACCCUGGUGUAGACAGCAAGUAGUAGUUCUAGGAGAGUUUAUUGAUGAAACUACCUGUCAACAAGUUAUCUGUGAAAGAUCCAAAAAGUUUUGUUCUUUCAUAAGGUGAUUUAGAAAAACAGAUGUCUAAUUAAAAAAAAGUAAUUAAUUCAUAAUUGAUUUUAAUCAUUAAAAAAAAACAAAUCUGGAAGGCAGCCUGUGAAAGCAUCAGAGUUCCUAGAAGGGCCAGUAGAACUACCUCACCACUACACCUGCAGUGAUUGGUUAUUCAAACAUGAUAGAAUGUGUAAGCUGUAGGUUUUAUUCCACAGAGACAGUCUCAAUCAUGAAAGAAUACUUCGAGAUUUUAUUUUCCUUCAGUAUAUCUUAGUGCUAAUUUUUUAAACUGCCUUCGUUGAGCUGAAUGGUAGGGCUCUGAUUUGUAUCAAAAAUUAUAAGCUUACACUGGUAUGUUUUACUGGAGGGGUGUCAUGUCUGAAGAAAAGUGUGUGUGUGUCUAUGUAAGAUGUAACCUUUGUGGUAUAUGCAGAAUGUCUGUACCUUCAUUUUGAUGAUAGUUCAUGAUCCUUGUUUUUAUACUGUAUUUGUUUUUCCCAUCUCUAAAAAAAUUUAAUCCAUUUUAGAAAUUACAAAUUUAGACUAUAUUAAUUUCCAUCAUGUCUUACCUAAGAAGUCUUUCCCCAGAUGUUCUAAUAUUGUCUUUAUUGUGAAACACCUGAAUUUGAAGAUAUGGAAAGCCUUGUUUUCUCUGUGUGGUUCAGCUACUUUUCAUUUGGUGUUAUGCACUCAAAUUUAUAUUCUGUUAAAUUGCCAUUUAUUAAACAUUUUUCAUGCACAGUAGUUUUAAGUUGUGCCUGAAAAUAUUUCAUGCUUUUUUGAUUUUGCUGACUUUAAAAGGAUUAAUCUGGGCAGACAUUAUGAAAAGGAAAGAUUUUGCUUAAUAUAUUUUUUGGACUUUGUAGGACAAAAGAUAACUGGUUACUCUUGAAGUGACUGUUGUACAAUGGUUAUGCACAUGCUUCAAAAUCCUCCAGAAGAGAUGUUUCUGCUUGCAGUACAUCAGAGGGGUAAAGAGAUCUUGCUCUUCAUGCUUUGAAAUACAAAUGUUCACUUUUCCAAAGCAUUAAAGCAAUUGCCAUAAUAGGUGAAAAACAUGAACUUCUACUGGAUUUUCAUUAAUUUUUCUCAUUUUGACUUGUGUGCACUACCAUUGAUACAUCAGCUUGUUACAGUGUUGAAAAAUUACCAGUUAUAUUUGCUGUUUAUAAUCUAUUUGUAGAUUAGGAAUAAAGUGGAUUUAAUCCAUUUUUAAAGCUGUGUGAAUUUUCUAAACAGAAACAGCCAUUUGCAUAUGAAUUUUCAUAAUUUUAUCAUUAGCAGUUGAGAGCACAUGUCCAUAUAGCAAUGUAAAAAUAUACUAAUGAGUAUUUGGUAAAUUCCGAUAGGUGUUUACCAUUAGCAUAAUUUUGUGUUGUACAAUUAAAAUUACAGUUACAUCUCUAAUUUUGGAUAAUAUUCAGUGGUUAACAAUAAAGUGACAAAAGCUCAUGCCUUCAAGGUCCACUGUUGUUAUUUAACAUAGAUUUCUUGUAUAUUUCCUGAAAAGUAUAGUCCAUCAGAGCUAUGAAUCAUCACAUCUUAAAAAUGAGAGUGGAUAGGGAAGAGCUUUAAAAUUCUCAUAGAUUUACUCUUUACCUCAAAUUACAUCUCAUUUACAAUGGAAAUAAUAGUUACUGCUUCUGUGGAAAAUUAAAUCGUUAAAUUUAUUGUCUUGGCAACAGAGGAUAAUUUAGGAUUUCCAGUCAUUUUUAUUGUAUAGCUGCUAAAUUUGUUUUUCUUAAGUAAGAUGUAGAUUCAUUAUCAUUGAUUCAUUGUCAUAGUAAACCUCUGAUACUCUUUAAAGAAUUGCUAACUGCAAUUGUUUAAAUACAUUUAUCUUGUCUAGAAGCAAAUUGCUUUUUUAAAAGCAUGUUACUAAUUGUAACGAAGUCUAAAAGUGGUAAAUCUUUUCCAAAAGUAAUAAAAACCAGGCAUUUUCUCAAUUUAUAGUAGUAUUUGUCACUAAAUCUAUUCAGGGGCAGAUGGCCACUUCUUUGAUCUUGUAAUCUUUGUUUUGCUUUUUAUCUGAGUUUUUCUUUAAGAUCCAGAAUUACCAUUUACAGACUUAUAUUUAAACUUACUCUUAUCCUUAAAAAAUAUGUCUUAAUAUUAAUGCCAUGAUUACAAAAAAUUGCCAUCUUCUGUUCCAAUUUUAACCACCUGGUAAGGUUGAGAUGUUUUAGAAAUAAAAAGAUAACUGUUUAAAUCCCAAAGCAUCCCACUGUAUGCACACACGAUUGAAACAGCUCAUGUGUUUUGAAAGUUCAAGCUUGGUACUAACACGUAGGGAAUUGCUAACUUUAGCAUUAAUUUUCUGAGCUUGUUAGUAAGAGAAGCUUAAAUACAAUUUGUAUGGAGACAGUUAAAUGUGCAACUCUCCUGGCAGGUUCCUCUCUUAAAUUUGUUCUAAGUGAGCAGAACUUUAACAUGUUAAUACUUUAUGCCUUUUAGGCUAACUAUAACCUACUUGUCAAAUUCUAAAUAUUCCAAAGUGAUAAAUAAUGUCAUGUAGAAUGGCAAUAUCCUGGUACAUUUUGAGAGCUCAAAACUGUAGGUUUUGAUUACAUCAUAAAAAUGUCCAUGCUUCCCUCUACUUGGAAGGCUGAGACACGAGGGUUGCUGCAAGCUCAAGGGCAGCCAGGGCUACAAAGUGAGUUAAGGCCAGGCUGAACAGCUUAGUGAGACCCUGUCUCAAGACAAAAAACAACAAAAAUGUCUGAGUCACCUGAUAACAUACAUUCUGCAGUGGUACAUAGAAAAAGUUGGUUCAGAGUAGUGCCCAAUGUGUCACACUCUCUUUCGCUUGCUAAUUAAAUGAUUUUUAGCUUCCACUUUUUCCUUAGUAAACCCACUCAAUAAAAUGUCUGUUUUUCAAGAAUUUAAGAGCUGCCAUUUUCUCUCUGGAAAAAUGCCUGUUAUCACUUCCAUACUAUGCCCUAUACGUUCUGUAACACAACAGUUUUCUGAUUUGGGGCUUUGUAUUUAUUACUACCUUAGGAGUUUAAGUAUAUCCACUGUUCGCUACGGAAUUUUAAAAAUCCAUCCUUCAAAUGACACAUCCUUUGAAUUCAGGUUUAUAUCUGGCUCUGGAGUUCCCUUGAAAGUGGCUCAAUCUUCUUAUUUAAUAUUUUAGUCAAGGAUGUUUUUAUUAAGAGCUUGUUAUAUUUCAGGAGUCAAAAGCAAUAUUAGAGUGACCAUUUUGGCCACUUUAAAAUAAGCACUCCAAAUGUUUAUCUUAGCACUUUUAGAUUUUUUUGCAUUUAUUUACACAUCAGAGAUGUUUCAGCGUGUCAAUGCCAUGUUGUUGAUUCAUAUUACUUGGAUGCCCAGAUUCCUCCAUGCUUAUUGGCUAGCCAGUUGCUUCCAUCUGUAAAGUUUAUUAUUUUUAUUAUCAUAUUCUGAUUGUUCACUUAUAGUUUUAACAGUUUGGAUUCAUUUUAUUUGUGUGUGUCAUCAACUUUACUCUGAAAAUAGUGAUACUGGCUUUGGGUUUUUAUUUUAAUUUUUUUUAUUUUUACCUAUUCACAGCUAAGUGUCCAUGAUAGUGGCAGUGUGACAUCCAUAUUCCUAAGAUUAUUGAUUUGACUGUCUUUGAAAAAACUCCUGAGAAAACAUAGAUUAUGUGUAUGUCAUAGCCAUGUUGCUUUUUUCAACUGAAAUGUUUUAUCUUGCUUUAGACUUAGAAAUGUGUAUAUUUCUUAGAAUUAUAAGACAGUAUCUUCCUUUUGUUUAUACUGAAAAGUUACAAAAUUCAAGUCAAAUAAUUGAAACAUGCAGUAGUUCCACUUAGGUAAUUAUUUUAAAGUUGUAACUGUUGACUAAAGUAUAUAUUUGUAUAAUGAAGGAAACAUUAUAGUACAGUAUAGAAAAAAUCAACACUAGGAGAGCGACUGGCAGACAGUACGAAUGAAUAGGCAGCGUGGGUCUCUCAACUGUGCUUGUUCCCUAGGAAAUUACUGAGUUUCGUAGAUCAGAUUUUAAACAUUGGUUAACAUAUCCUGAAAGAUAAAGUCCCUAAUUUUAUAAGUUUUCCUCAUGUUAUAGAAAGACUCAUUACUACAGGAAAUCAAGUCUAGUAAUAGAUAAUAUGCAUACUAAAUGCUGAGAAGUUUAGCAGAGUUUUCAAUGUUGAAUAUUUAUGGAUUGUUUUGUGGCAAAGUACACAUAAUAUCUUUAGUUUAUAUAUGAGUAGUAAGACACUAUAUUUCAAAAUUCAUAAAGAGACAACAUCUUACACUUUAGUUUCAAUAGCUUUUGAGUUCUAAAAAUUGACUAGAUUUUAUUAGGAACUGUCGGAGCAAACAAGGAAAGAUAAAGGGAAAACUGAGCUACCAUUGGGGCAUAAGCCCAUGCGUAAACCAGUUCUUCCCUUAACCGUUUUUGAGUUUAUUGUUUAUUGGUAUUAAGUACGUUCAUCACCAGUGUCUGUCUCCAGGUCUUAGGGCCCAAACUGAAGCUCCGUUAGACAGCAGUCGCCUUUUCUUUCCUUCUCUCUUGUCCGUGGGAACCACUGUUACACUUUAUCACUAUACAUUUAAGGUUUCUAGGUACCUCCUAAUAGUGAAUUCAGUAUUUGUCUGUGUCUGACUUAAUAUCCAAGUAUAAGUGUUUAUCAGAAUUUGACUUCAUUGUGAGUCCGGAUAAUGCUCCACUGUAUGCAUGGUGUAGUUUGUUUAUCCAUUCAUCACCUGAUGAAUAUUUGGGUUCUGCGUUUUGGUUCGUAACCAGUGCUGCUAGGAACAUUAGUUUACAGAUUCCUUACUUUGAUUUCUCUUGGGUAGAUAUCCACAAAUUGAAAUGCUGAAUCAGAUGAUAAGUCCAGAUCAGAUGAUAAUUGUGUUUUUUAAGGAGCUGUCUUACUAUGUCCCAGGGUAGCAGUAAUGGACUGCAUUCCUACUAAGUUGUUUCUAUGUCUGACUCGUUGGUAUUUUAAUUUGGUAAUUGAUUUCACAGUUCUGAAUCAGAUUAUUUUCAGAGACUUUCUCUGGAAUUAGAGAUGGAUACUUUGAUUCCAGAUGUGUUGUCUUUCCAAAAAUGUGGUCUUAGCCAUAGUUAAUAUCCAUUUUUGAAUUAUUUAUAACUCAGGAUUAUUACAGUGUGAUGCACACAUAUUAACAGUAAUUCCCUCAAUCUUUGUGUUCUCAUAUAAUUCUAAUUAAGUUGGUGAAAGAAGGGCUUUUUCAGAAAGGUUUUUUAUUUUUUUAUUUAAGGAGAAAAAGGAAAAAAAAAGAACAGAAAAAGGGUACAAGUAAUAUAAAAUUUAAAAAAUAGUAAGGGGCUGCGGAUUUAGCUCAGCGGCAUAAGCACCUGCUUGCAAGCAGGCAGUCGUGAGUUCGAUCCCUGGUACCGAUAAAAACGAAAAAGACAAAUAAUAAUAAUAAAAUAAACAGUAAGAAAUCACUAGUUAAUAGAUUACAUAUUCUCAUCUUGGAAAUAGUUGUUCAAGUUACAAAAUUGAAGCAUAUAAAGUGGACUUUCAAACAGUGAGAGUGCAAACAGUUUUGUUCAGUGAUCCAAAAAACAGUAAUAUGGUUAUCUAUCUUAUACACUUAAACAUAUAUGCAGUUAUAACCUUUAGAGCACUUUCUUUUCCUUUCUUUUGUACAAUGACAAUUACACAUUUUGGGUUUUAUUACUCCCACAGUUCUUAGUACUUUUUUUUGAAGAGAGUGAAACCAAAUGUGACAUAUCAGAACAGAGUCAGUCAAAUCAAAAGGAUGGACAUAAUAGAUAAUGUAAAAACAAAAUAUAAGGUGAUCAACAAUGGUUACCACACUGCCUCUUGUUAUUUUAGGAAGAAUUGGCAGUUAUAAUAAAAUUGAACUAAACAGUAAAGAAUAAAACCAAAGCAUUGGAGACAUUACAGGAUUUAAAAAAAAAUAAUAGUCAAUCGGAAUGGGCAUCAUGAUUCUUUAUUGUCUUCACAGUUAUGCCUAUACUUUCAAUCUUGGUACUAUCAAGCAAAGCAGAAUAGAGGAAAAUCAGUCAAAACAAGAUGGUGAGGGCAAUGCAGGAUUUCAAAUCAAGUUAAUAGGAAAUCAAAGUAGGUUACUAUAAAUGUAUCCUGCUAUUUUUUUUUAUUUUUCCCUUAAUUAAAAAAAUAAAAAGAAAAAAGUAAAUAAAAAAGGGGGGGGAUUGAGGUAAAAGAGGGCAUAACAACAGAACAGCACAGGUCAAAACAUAACCAUUUAAGCAAACCAAUGUUUCACCACAAGAUAUUCUGACAUAAAAAUAGUUACCAUAGCGUCUCUUUCCUUGAAAUCUUUGAGUAUAACUUCUUAUACUGUAGCACCAAACAUAUCACAACACUAUAAAACCAUUCAAGAGAAUGACAUUAUUACAGGGUAUUUAGAACCAAUUGACAGAAAAUGAACAAUGGUUUCUAUAUAAACUCCUUGUCUAUAAAAGUUUUUGCUUAUAUUAUCAUAUAUAAUAAAAUCCAAUAAGAUACAACACGUUAAAACCGAUGGAGACUGAAGAAUACAUGUUUGUUGGGACUUCAAAACAAGAUGAUACUAAAUCAGCACUAGCUAUUAUGAUGCCUUGUUUUCUCCAAAAUUGCUGUUCCUACCUUCUGAUCUUCUCUGCCUCAUUUCUGUUGAGCUCUUUUUCUGUCGUUUGUUGUCAGUUUGUCAUUCUUCAUUUCGUUUUCUGCUCCAUUCAUUGUGGCCUCUCUGCCACUAUUUCUGGAAUCUUGGUAUUUUCCUUUUUUAGAAUACCCUGCAGUAUUCUCUGUAGAGUCGAAUUGGUGGUUGCUAAUUCCCCUAGUUCCUCUUUAUCCUGGAAGCACCUUGUUUUUCCAUCAAUUUCUAGGGACAGUUGUGCAGGAUGUAUCAAUCUUGGCUGGAGGUUAUUAUCUUUCAAAGCUUGAAUUAUUCCCCCCCAGACUCUUUGUGAUUUGAUGGUUUGUGCCGAGAAGUCUGUUGCAAUUCUGAUGGGUGUUCUCUUGUAAGUGAUCUGUUUCUUGUCUCUGACGGCUUUUAAUAUUCUGUUCUUACAUUGGAUUUCUGGAAUUUUGAUUAUUAUAUGCCUGGGUGUAGCUCUGUUUGGGUUGUAGGUUGCUGGGGUCCUGUAUGCCUAAUAUAUCUGAGUAUCUUUACCAUUUGCCAAAUUAGGGAAAUUCUCUUGGAUUAUUUCUGUGAAUAGCUUUUGUAGUCCAUUUGUUUGUGUCCCCACUUCUCUUAUGUUCUUAAGUUAUAGAUCCUCUUAUCUUCUAGUUUUUGUAUAGUUGCUGUUUGUUUUUUUGUUAUUUUUAAGAAGUUUUUCAUUUCAUGCUCCCAUAUUACAAAUCUGCCCUCCCGUUCAGAUAAUCUGUACUUAGUUUCUUUCAAGCUGUUAUGCCAGUUUUCGAUAGUUUUUAGUUUCCUGGUAAUCUCUUUGAACCUGCUUCAUGUAUUCUAUAUUUUCUCUAUCUUCUCCAUCAAACAAUUCUCCCCUUUUUUUCUGUUCUUCCAUCCCACCAUCUGUUUUUUCUUCGGCAGUGCUUAGCAUUUCUCUAACUAUUCUGCUUAUGACUUGCUUCAGGUCAUUAAUAACUUCAUUCCUGAACUCGUCUAUGAGGCUCUGGAGAUAGCGCUUUAUAUCUAUUGGUGCCGUGUCUGCUAUUGUGUGUUUCUCAGGAUUGGGGGCCGAGGACCCUUUCUUGUUGCUCCCUCUUCCCAUAUUCUUUGUUCCUUAUAUUUAAGCGUGUAUAGGAGGCCCAGCUUCCUUCCCUGUCGGCCACAGUCUGUUUGAAUUGUGCCAGCUAGGUGUUCCCGCCCCCUGCAGUGUACUAGGGAGACACAGACCUGGGCAGCCUCUGCUGGGCCCGCCCCUCCAGGUCAACCUAUCCCAAGGCUUCACCUCUAGGCUGCACCUUCAGGUGCUGGGACCUGGGUUGGGCUAGCCUAUUGGGUCUCAGCCAGCAGCAUCUCACAGGCCAGGCACUCCCCACCAGUCCCGCUCGAGAGGGGGAUAUGUGACUGAAGUCACUGCAGCUUCUCGUUCUGGGAAGUCUGCCCAGUCCAAGUAUGUCCUCCGCUGAAGCCUCCUUCUCUAUGUAAGGGUCUGAUUCGCUCACUCACCGCAGGUGGAUGCAGGGCACCCAGCCAGUCCUGCUCCCAACUCCUUUCAAGGCUUCCCACUCUCUGAGCUUUCGCAUCUCUCUCCCUGCUGGGCAACAGCUGGGAUGCAACAGCAGGGAUGCAACAGCGGCUGCAGGUAAUUCAAAUCGCAGUUUCCAGUGGCGGGGGUCCAGCUUCCGUGCUGAGACCUUAUCUGUGCCUGCUGUCUCACCAGGAUUGCGUUUCCAGAUGGUUUCUCUUAAUUUAGUUCGUUCCUGGUCAGCAAAGAAUAUCCCCCUUGCCUGGGACUUCCUGUCCAGCACCAUUGCUAGAUUUCAAGUGCAGUUUCUCCAAGAGCCUCAGAGGCUGCUGUUAUCUAUCCGCCAUGUUCUUCUGGAAUCUUCAGAAAGGUUUUUAUAGGUUAGAAAAUAAAAUUAUGGAAGUUAUAAUUAUUAAAACAUAACCUAGUGAAGGUUAAUUUAGAACAUGUACACAUUAACUACAGUAGUUUUAAAAAACGCGUUUUGGAAUUUUUUAUAGGUUGUUUUGUUUUGAGAUAGGGGUUUCACUAUGUAGUUCAGGCUGGCCUUGAACUCAUUGUGUCGUCCAGGCUGGCCUCAAACUGGUGACAGUCCUCCUGCCUCAGCCUCAUAAAUGCUGGGUUUAUAGGUAUAUGUUCCCAUGCCUGACCACUAGGAUUUUUAAAAACUGAGAGUCAUAUUUGAUUAUGCUCACCCACUUAGCUUUUACUAGAGGGAUGAUGUGAUUCAUGGGCUUCUCCUCAGAUGAUCUCUCAGGGUCUGUCUUUAUUUUCACUUGUUUCCUCCUAAUGGAAAGAUGGUUCCUAAUACAAUCUGGUCAGUUUUUUGACAUUUAAAAACUUUUUAAUAUCGGUGGAUAUAAUCUCUUGGUGAUCCAAAUUGCAAAUAGAUGGUGUCUCUGCAUGCAUUUUGAAAUAUGUCUUGCUGUUUGUGUACAGGUUAAGUAUAGAUUUAGCAGUUUUUUAAUAUGUGUAUUUUAAAAGUAUGUCUAUAAAAAAGUAAAAUCAAAUAUGCAAAAGCAAAUCAUAAUUUAGUGAUGUGUUUAUUUCACUACAAUUGGCACAUGUACUUCAUUGCUUAUUGAGGUUUCUUGAAACUUUUUAUUUGUUCCAGUACCUGACAUUUAUUUCCCCCCAAAUUAGUAAUGUCUUUAAAAGUAGUUAAUCAUUAGUAUGAAAAUGUUUUUGUUGAUAGAUACAAGACAAAACCAUUUUGUCAUUUAGCAGCUUAUAUGCAUUUUUGAGACAACCAUAUAUGUGGGCCUGAGAUGGUAGCUCAGAGGCCCUGGUUUUAAUCUGUAGCAUUUAAAACCAUGAAAGAAGCCCGAGUGAGUAAUGGUCUUCUUAUUUUUGUUCACCUGUUAGUAUUGUGAGUAUUGGUGUUUGUACCCUAAAACUUUGGAUUCCAUUUCAGUGCUUUAUUUACCUUUUAAAGAUUUUACUUGAGAUUCUCCUAGAGUUUUGUUCUGUCUGUUACUGUGGGUGUGCGAGGCCCUGUGCCAGGUCUGUAGAGUUUUUUAAAAAGACAUGUUUUGUCCUAAGCAGUAAACACCGUGUGGUUCGCUCCCAGUGUGUCUGUGUGUUGCAGACACAGGAGGUCCCUUCUCCAUCCCUUACUGUCAGUGUGCUCAGGCCUCCGUCCUUCAUCACCUACUCUUAACUCGCCUAGACAUGUCCCUGUGUCGCUGUUUUAAAUACCGCUGUGUGCUGGAAGCAGAUCUCCAGUCAGGAACUUUCUGACACCGGGACGCACAAGGCCCCCUCUGCACGUGUGUUUCCAUUUUGGUGCCUAACAGGCACUUCGGACUUCCGGCCAAGCAAGCUCAGGGGUUUCUUCCCUGAAACUUCUCCUGCGUCAGUCUUCCUCUUCCCCACCGAGGAGGCACAAGUCCACUGUUUCCAUUAAUCAGACUCAAAUCUCUGGGUUUUUUCAUUCAUAUCUGACAUCUACACCAACCACAAAUCCGUUAACUCAGCGUUCAGAAUUCGUAAUCUGUUAGAACAUAAGCUUCGUUCUUCACUUCCUCACUCUGUUCUAACCACAACUGUGUGAUCACAAUGCCUUCCUUCCAUUCCAAUGUUUUCUUCUCUUACUUGUAGUCUUUUAGGAAAGCAGCUUUAAACAAAUCAGAUUACUUAGCUUCUGCUCGAAAUUCUCCAGAAAUUUUGAAACUCAGAGUAAAAGCCAUGUCCUUCUCCAGGCCUUUCACAGCUCGCUAUGAUUUGAUCCCCAUCACAGCUCCUGGACCCCUCUCAACCCCUCUCAUUCUCCUCUCAUUCAAUAGAACUCACGCUGGCUUCUUUGUUAGCCUUAAAACUAGCUGGCUCAAAACCAGUUUGGAAUGCUUUUCCCUAGAUAUUUGUUGCUCCCUUGUCAUUAAUGUCACCUCAGUGAGGCUUCUCUUACUGCACUUUUUGAAGAUGUGGCUUCCCAUUUCCCCUAUCAUCUAAUACACAGAAUAUUUUACCUUGUAAAAGCAGGAGGCCUGCUUCCUCCCAUUAGAAUGUAAGCUCCAUGAGGGCAAGGGUGUUACUGAUUUAUGUACUCAUGCAUUUAGUGUCAUAGUGGUGUUUGGCACAGAAUAGAGGCUUGUCUGUUACAUGCAUGGCAGUUGAAUUCUGGGAGCUCAGGGGGAAGACAGCCAGUCUUGCUGGAGGGUUCCAGGGAAGCCUCACAGAGCAGAAUGUUCCUGUGCCGAGUCUUUGAAGAUGGGUUCUCAAAUGAGAUUAAAGAUAGAAAAGCUACCAAAUAGAAGGACCUGCAUCUGCAACUUAAAUCAAGGUGCAGAGACUUGGGAAUGUGCUGAAAACUGCCCAGUUGUACUGACAACAUGUAAAGUUUGGGAUUCCGCUAGCGUUUCAUUCUCGUGUGAACAGCAGCUUUAAACAAAUCCCAGGGAGAAUGCAGGGAUUGAACUUGCUCCUGCUGCCUGCCAGCUGGGCUGCCUAGGCGCCUAACUGGGUGAGCGAGGUGCCCUGUCAGUAGCUCUGAACAAAUCAGAUUAUGCUUCUGCUCAGAAUUCUCCAGAGAUUUCCAAACUCAUGGAACGCUAGACAAUCGUGGGGGCAAGUAGGCUGUGGGGUACCUGUCACGUUUGACCUGAACGUCAGUUACAUAAGGAGAGAAACUGGGUUUAGUCCAGGACCUCACCAGGGCAGCGUGGCCAAAGCAGAGAAGGGUGUACAGGAGAAGGCCGCCACGGGAGGGCAUUACUGUGAUACUUAACGUGCUCACUAAUUUGGAAAAAAUCAUUGAAAAGAGUGAUUUUGAGAGGGAUUAAAAAUUACCUUAAAGUUUAAGUGUGCAUUGUCUUCUGUAUAGUUUUUCCCACGUAAGUUUUUUAUCCCUCUUUGUGAUCUUCAAUUUUUUGUUUUAAAAAAUAUUACUGGUAGAUACUUUGAUGUACGUAAUAAUGACAGUGUUCAUCACAGGGACUUUGCACCUGCACAUCCAUCUUCUUUUUUCCCACGCCCCUCUUCCCUCCUUAUUGACAAAGACCUCGCUUCCAGUGAUUCCCUUCUAGUCUUUCUUUCCCUUGUCUCUUCUUUCCCUUCCCCCUUUUCUAAUUUUUUUUCUUCUUUUUUUCCCUUUUAUGUGGUGCUGGGGACAGAACUCAGGCCUUCGUGUAUGCAGGGCAGACUCUGCCCCUGAGCCACAUACAUCCCCAGGACUCUCUUUCCAUUUGAACAUUUUCCUUCCCAUUUCCCAGUAUCUAUCUGUCCCGCAUUUUGGUCCUUAUUUACAUUAACCCAGCACAGGUCAGAAAAACGCUCUUUCUAGCAAUCUCCUCCGACUCCCGCUGGUUGAAGCUGACACUCUGUGGCACGAACCCACCCAAGUCCAGGGAAUUACACACAAUGAAGUAAACAUCUGUUCCCAUAAUUACCUUAUAAGGUAAAUAUGCUCCAUGUGGCCCUCGAAUGACUUAAUUUAUUGAAAUAAUUUCAUCAUUAAAAAAUAGAUGCCGGAGGUUAGGGCCUGAGAAUCCACGUGUGUGUUAAACAUAAUCUGCGGUCCAGGGGAGGAAGCAGAAGACUUGGAAAUAAUUGUGCCUGCUGCCAAGAGAACAGGAGGUCCCUGCAGAGAGCCGGGGAGCACCCAGCCCCUUGCUAAUGUGGGCAGGGCGGCAGAGGUCAGCGUGCUUGUCCGUGGCUGCCCCUCGGCUUCCCUUUCAGGCCAGGGAACAGCUCAGUGAGUGCAGAGGUGGCUUCAGGGCUGACUUGUGCUAGGGGUACGGAGUGCGCGACGCCUUGGGGCUGGUUUCUGACACCAGCUCUGAGGGCGGCCGCUGUGUGAGACAGAGCUUAGGGUUAGGGGAUGGUGCCCUGGCGGGAGGACUGCCAUGGGCUGCAGGGUAGGCAAGUUCGCUUUUAACCUGGGCUACUUUCAGAAGCAUCAGGGAGAUCAAGAGAGCUCUGUAUGUGUUCUGGGGCCACCGAAGAACCUUGAUAAGAGAAGUGUUCACUUGUUCACCCACAUACUCACGUGGUUUUGUUAGUACGUGUUUACAGUACCUGAUUACAUUCAUCAUGGAAGUUGAUACAUGUACGUAACACGUCUUGAUUCUUAUUUCCUCCCAUCCUGUCCUCCAUCUCUAGAUCCCCUUUCCAUUUGCAAAAGGUCAUCCGAAUAUUUUAGUGCCUGCUGCCUACCAGCUUGCCAUCGAGGGUAUUACAGUGACUAAACUCUUGCCCUAAUAAACUGACUUUCUGUGGAAAAGAUAGAACACCAGGAAGCAAAGUAACUAUAAAGUUGCAACUUGAGUAAAAUUGUAAAAUUUGUAAAACUUGUAAAAUUACUAGGAGUUGACCAUCCUUAAACUAUAAAAAUGAUUUUAUGAUACUAUGAAAAAAGUUGGGUUGAAAAAAUACAGAGUUGAUAAUAAGAGGUUGAAAUGUCAGGAAAAGUCUCUCUGAGGAGAGAGCCUAUCCAUUGCACCUGAGGGAAGAAAAAGGUAGCUUUGCUUGGCUUCUUCCUCCAUUUAGAAUGCAAAUACCAGAGAAUAAAAGAGGGCUGGGCCUGGCUGGGGCUGCGGCUACCGGCAGACUUAAUUGUAUCCAAAGAGGAAGCCAGCACUUCCUCAGCUGGGGCAGGCCCAGAGUGGACCUGAUGUCCACCAGAAGGAACAAAGUGACUCAAAGAAAAGCAUUCAAAUACUCAAGUUUAAUGUUGUGUGAAAUUUGCCAGAUUUUACAUGUUAGCCAUUUUGAACUUUUAGAAAAUACAUUGUAAACACAUCAAGAUAUAUGUAUGCUCGCUAGAGGAGGCCUGCUCAGCAAUUUCCAGCCUUUCUGCAAAGGCUCACAGUAGAGAGAAUAGCACUUGCAAAGACCUCAGGCGAGCAAGGCUGGCCUCCUGCAGGAAAGACUGGUGGUGUCUCUGGAGCUUCGGCAACCAGAGGAGAGCGGUAUGUGGAGAUGGUCAGAAGGGGCCACAUCACAGAGGAGCUUGCUAAACCAUGCAGAAAGUCCUCGGGACCUGGACCCAACAUCUGUUGAUUAGUUGGACCCUGAAGACAAAAAUAUUCCAGCCAGAGUUAAACUAAGGUAACUUUGGUGGAGUCUGAUGGUCAGAUAGAAUGCAAAUUUGGUUGAGCUGGGACUCCACGAACCCUGUACCCUGAGGUCACAGUGCUGCUUGUGCUGGAGGAAGGAGAGCUUGUUCUAACCCACAAAAAGAUGUCGCAACACUGCAGUUGUCCCUGAAGGUGGGGACCCAAACUGUACGCACUGUUCCAGAUGCGCUCCUGCCAAAGCAGUAUAAAGCAAAUGUAACAGAACAGAGGCAUCCUCUCCAGGUCCCUGGCGACUGACACAUGGCGAACUUUAGGAUAAGGACACACCAAGACAGUCCUGGUGUUUGGAACUCCCCCAAAGUGUGCAUCGCAGCUGAACUCGAUGACCUGGUACUCCCUCGAGCGUGGCUCUUGCUGAUGGCUCCCUCCUCCUCUCGUGGCUGUUGGGUUUUCCUUUCUUGCUGUUUUCUCUUUCUGAACCCCUCUUGACUGCCUUUCCCAGGGCCAGGCCUUAGGAAGGUGCCCCAGGACUUGGGAUUUCUGCACUGCACCCGCAGCCCCAAGACAUCAUCCCCCAAACAUAUGCCUAAAGGCGUUGGCUUCUGAGAAUCCACUUUUUCUGCAUGACUAGCUUGUAAGGAGGAAUCCAAGGGGGGAAUUUUCAAGAGUUUUCCAUUUUAACAAAAUGUAUGUGGCUGAUUUUGGGCAAGCUCAGUGGUGCACGCUCUGUUCCCAUGUGAUUCUCUGUGGAAUCUGCAGAAAGUGACGCAAACAAAAUUUUUCUUGUCUGGGCUGUUUGUAUAAUUGUAUAUAAAUGUAGCAAUAAAUCUAUUCUAUCAUCA